RNAcentral lists this ribosomal RNA (477 nucleotides) under uncultured bacterium. RNAcentral's name for it is "partial 16S ribosomal RNA". It matches the Rfam family "Bacterial small subunit ribosomal RNA", at positions 30 to 507 of the family's 1533-position model. The record is from RNAcentral.
AUUGAACGCUGGCGGCAUGCCUUACGCAUGCAAGUCGAACGGUAACAGGUUAAGCUGACGAGUGGCGAACGGGUGAGUAAUGUAUCGGAACGUGCCCAGUCGUGGGGGAUAACUGCUCGAAAGAGCAGCUAAUACCGCAUACGACCUGAGGGUGAAAGCGGGGGAUCGCAAGACCUCGCGCGAUUGGAGCGGCCGAUAUCAGAUUAGGUAGUUGGUGAGGUAAAGGCUCACCAAGCCGACGAUCUGUAGCUGGUCUGAGAGGACGACCAGCCACACUGGGACUGAGACACGGCCCAGACUCCUACGGGAGGCAGCAGUGGGGAAUUUUGGACAAUGGGCGCAAGCCUGAUCCAGCCAUGCCGCGUGCGGGAAGAAGGCCUUCGGGUUGUAAACCGCUUUUGUCAGGGAAGAAAAGGUUCUGGCUAAUACCUGGGACUCAUGACGGUACCUGAAGAAUAAGCACCGGCUAACUACGUG